Molecule: long non-coding RNA, 290 nt
Organism: Condylura cristata (star-nosed mole)
Lineage: Eukaryota; Metazoa; Chordata; Mammalia; Eulipotyphla; Talpidae
Exons: 3
Source: RefSeq, a predicted model, not a curated record
AACCCAGGCCUAGUCGGAGUCCACGUUCUGUGAGCCUCCCUCAGCGGCCCAGGGCCCACCACCAGGAAAAUUUUCCCCAAAGGGUACUGGUGCCCAGCACUGUGCCAGAUUACUUGGAGCACCACGUCUUGAGGACAUCACGGACCCUGCACCGCCGUGUCCUGAGGCUGUGCCUGUACUGAGAAGGUGUAUAAGGACAAGACUGACGCGGAGCAGCUGGUGACGCUUCCUCCUGAAGGAGCCCCGCAGAGACAGUGGCUGCUGAGCCCCUGGGAGAGCAGUGGAUGGCA